ACGCGCCCCGACUCCCCGUAUGCCAGCGACACURCUGCUGCACGUCUGUGGAUAGGGGAGCUCUCAUGUUUAAAGUAAAUGAAAUACGGCCAUACCAACAGCGCACAGCUACUGGUCCCUACGGCAGACCUUAAUUUCUCAUCAGUCAGCUUCAUCUUUAAGUGGUUUAGCCUCAGAUGAUGGAGCAAGGCAGGGCAUUUUCAGGAAGGAAAGGCUAGGGCUCUGCGCCGUGUCAUCGCUUCCGUUUGCUGCUUUUUGCUGAGCGUUAUCUAGAGUUGGGGAAGAAAGCAAGCGAAACGGACAGACACACUGGUCUCCUGCCCGCGGAAGGGAAUGUACGUCCUAAUGGUCUUGUCUUUUCUAGGAGAAAUAACAGGCGAGACUUUCUUUCGCCAACAAGAACAUGGAAAUCUUGUACUUCAGUGCAAUCAGCCAGCUGCUAAAGAAAAUAAGAGAAUAGAUUGGUAUAAGACAGCAAGUGAUAUGCAACGAUUCGAGUUAAUUAAUUGCCCUUCCAAGUGUAAUCACUUGUGUACAGAAGCAGCUUGCAAUGAUACCUUAGAGGUGACACACGCUUCAUCUGAUGGGAUGAUGUUUGCAUGUGCAGCAGUUUCAAGCGAUGAAGCACCGGUGACUUCCCUACUGUUCACCAACGAGUCUCACUGCAGGCACUACAGCUUCUUUCUUGCACAGACUAACACCGAAUCAGGGGAAAAGCGCUCAGGCAAUGUUCAGGAAAAAUCACAAGUCUCUCUCACGUUCAAAGAAAAAGAUAACAUCACCCUGCCUUGUGAAUUUUACAUUAACUGCUCAGGAUACUGUUUUUUCAUGUACUGGAUCAGAGUCAGUAAAACAAGUGAAUGCCUUUUUUCUGCUGCAAACGAAGCCCUGUCCCCGAGCCUGGCUUUCAACGAGCACUGCUGUGCCGAUGGAGACGUCCAGGAACGCCUGCUGCACACCACGAACUUCAGCCCCGCUCACAAAACACACAACAUGACUAUUCUGAACGUCACGAGUGCUGACAGCGGGGAAUAUUUAUGCGUUGUUGCUGCCUGGCAUCAGGGUAGACUUGAGUGGCAAGUUCCUACCAACUGGUCGGUGGAUGUUCAGAAGGACAGAGCGGCACGUAAGCUGAAACCGCGUUCCUAACGGCCUCUAGCUUCUAGCGGGAACAUCUGCACUCGUCUGGGAAAGUUGCCCUCGUUUGGUGUAAACACUGUGCUCUGGCACUGCAGCAAGCCACACAAAAUCCUACAUCCUGAUAAUGUGAUCAACACAUUGCAAUUCAUUUUARAAAUCAUUCAUUCUCUAAGAUUAUUCAUAUUCCAGGGAAUUAAUCACUCUUUAAAUAAUUUAAAAGAGAAAGAGUAACUCUACAUCACGAAGUGGCAGUGUGUCAGGGACCAUUUGGCCGUUAUUUCACGUAGAAUGCUUUGUGGAUGAUCAUUAAUCGUAUCACAUAUACAAUUAACUCCGUAUUUGCAAUAAGGCUGUUUGCAAAUAAAGGAAAAUGAACGACAGUGUAAAUGGUUUAC
Dromaius novaehollandiae (emu) is the source of this 1535-nucleotide long non-coding RNA. The record is from Ensembl. NCBI's taxonomy places the organism in Eukaryota, Metazoa, Chordata, Aves, Casuariiformes, Dromaiidae.